AACGCAGGUGGUUUGGUAAGUCAGGGUGAAAGUCCACAGCUUAACUGUGGCACUGCCUUUGAUACUACCUUUCUUGAGUGCAUGAGGGGGAAGCGGAAUUCCGAGUGUAGAGGUGAAAUUCGUAGAUAUUCGGAGGAACACCGGUGGCGAAGGCGGCUUCCUGGCAUGUAACUGACACUCAUGUUCGAAAGCGUGGGGAGCAAACAGGAUUAGAUACCCUGGUAGUCCACGCCCUAAACUAUGGGCACUAGGUGUGGGAGGUAUCGACCCCUUCCGUGCCGCAGCUAACGCAUUAAGUGCCCCGCCUGGGGAGUACGGCCGCAAGGUUGAA
This 331-nucleotide ribosomal RNA is filed under the name uncultured bacterium. Its description in RNAcentral is "bacterial SSU rRNA". It matches the Rfam family "Bacterial small subunit ribosomal RNA", at positions 568 to 898 of the family's 1533-position model. The record is from RNAcentral.